Long non-coding RNA from Carassius gibelio (silver crucian carp), 556 nucleotides. RefSeq lists it as uncharacterized. NCBI's taxonomy places the organism in Eukaryota, Metazoa, Chordata, Actinopteri, Cypriniformes, Cyprinidae. The transcript is spliced from 3 exons. The record is from RefSeq and is a predicted model, not a curated record.
GUUCAGGACUUGCGGCUGACCAAAGACAUGGAGACCUUCAAAAACAAUGCCCUACAGGUUGUGAAAAAUACAAUGACGAUACCUCGGAUUAUUCUGACUCACCCCUCUACCUCAGAUGAGGACGUGGAGCCCCUGACGCAGGGCCCAGAUGAUGGAGAUUUUGAUUCGGACUUCAGCGACUCGGACGGUCACUUCUACUCGGACUGCUUGAACAGUGCUUUCUAUCCUCUGUGAAAGAUAGAGAAGCACACAGGCUCCAGAUGUGCCUGUGUCCUUCGGUUAAGUGAAACUGUGGUCCACAACCACCUGAGCAGUAAACGAGUGGCGCGGGAUCGAUACUUCAGGCAAAGUCCGCAGUAACAUGAUGCACUGUUUAGAACACCAUUGUGUGAAGGUGAUAUAGAGGAAGUGGAAAGAAAUAUUUUUCUAAAAUGUUGCUUAUUUGAAUUGUUCACGCUCUUAAAUCGACCUUACUUGCUUUGUGUAUGCUUCAUUGAAAUGUUUUUACUUACACCAUUUAUAACUUGCCAAAAAAUGAAAUAAACUUUAAAUGUGA